This 541-nucleotide ribosomal RNA is filed under the name uncultured bacterium. RNAcentral's name for it is "bacterial SSU rRNA". It matches the Rfam family "Bacterial small subunit ribosomal RNA", at positions 355 to 896 of the family's 1533-position model. RNAcentral also lists the same sequence under 1 other name. The record is from RNAcentral.
UGAGGAAUAUUGGUCAAUGGGCGGAAGCCUGAACCAGCCAAGUAGCGUGCAGGAUGACGGCCCUAUGGGUUGUAAACUGCUUUUGAAGGGGAGUAAAGUGAGUGACUUGUCAUUCAUUGCAAGUACCCUUGGAAUAAGGACCGGCUAAUUCCGUGCCAGCAGCCGCGGUAAUACGGAAGGUCCGGGCGUUAUCCGGAUUUAUUGGGUUUAAAGGGAGCGUAGGCUGCCCGGCAAGCGUGCUGUGAAAUACAGUGGCCCAACCACUGGACUGCAGCGCGAACUGUCGGGCUUGAGGGCGCACGACGCAGGCGGAAUUUGUGGUGUAGCGGUGAAAUGCUUAGAUAUCACGAAGAACCCCGAUUGCGAAGGCAGCUUGCGGGAGCGCGACUGACGCUGAAGCUCGAAAGUGCGGGUAUCAAACAGGAUUAGAUACCCUGGUAGUCCGCACGGUAAACGAUGGAUGCCCGUUCUGCGGCCUUCGGGCCGCGGGACCAAGCGAAAGCAUUAAGCAUCCCACCUGGGGAGUACGCCGGCAACGGUG